GCCAUUUCCUCAGGGUCAAAACACUACAAUUCUUGGGGAGGUCUCUUCCUUUUAGGUAUUUAUGACGUUCAGUCUCCAGCCACUUAGCUGUCAGGUAUUUCACACAGCUCUUUGGGAUGUUUGUAACAAACACGAUGUCUCCUUCAUACACCUGAAGGAAAGCUGUUCUUGUUCAACUUCAAUUUUUUCUGGAUGCAGCCAGACACUGGGAAAAUCUGCUCUUUAAAAGGUGAAUGUUUUUAUGAAAUUGAGUCUUCAAAUAAUGCUUUAUAACAGAAAUUAAUUCGAGAUUUAAGAUUGCUGCUGCCAGUCCCAUUACUAGGAGCCCUAAUAUUGUAUCCACUGGUAUUUGUUACCGAACUUUCAGUGGUUGCACUGUUGAAAAUUUAACUAUGCUAUUAACUAUAUUGUCACAUAACGCUUAUUACUACUGCAUCAUAUUCUUUUCAAGACUUGGCAAAAUUUUGUCAAAAGGUUAGGCCGCAUCCAGAACACUUAAUACAUUGUUUGUGAGUUCUGAUAUCCAAAAGACAGUAUCUGUUCUCUGUGCACAUAUGCAUUUAGUUUCCUGGAUGACUAACAGCUAGCUGAGUCACAAUCUUAAAAAGUUGUUUUUCAUACUAUCCAAGUAGUUCUGACAGGCUUAUCCUUCACAAAGCUCUAAAUAAAGAAAUCGGUAAAUCAUAGUUGUGAAUGACUACAAGAUAUUCUCGCUGUGCUAAGAAAAGGUUACCUCAAAUUCAAGAGGGAGGUUACAGCUUUUAGAGGGUGGUUACAGCUUUUAGAGGGUUUAUUAGUACAGAUGUUUGCAAGUAUUUGGAAGGUUCAGAGGGGAAGAAAAUAAGAGCAUCCUGCUUGGGGGAGGAAGGUAAAAAUGAACGGCGCAUUUGUUGCCCUAUCAGGGGAUGAGCCAUAAGUGAAAAAAAUCACUAGCUUCAAAAAGUCAAGCCCCAGACAACUGCAAAAACUUGUGACAACUGCGAGCGCACUCCUUAUGCCAAAUCCAUUGACCCAGGUAGGAUCUCCAGACGUAGAACAAGCAUUUACCUGGGCAAUGUUUUUGCCUGUGUGCAGCCGCGGGCUGUUCAGGGCUCUGUAGGCAUGGCAUACAUGACACUGUCCUGCUUUAAGGUCACCCCUGGCUGCAGGGCAAACGGCCAUGCAGAAAGGGGAUUCAGCAGGCUUCGUCCUCCCUGAAGGCUGCCUUCAGGGGAUCCAGGUAUGGUGCUUGCUCUCUCGCUUAAGAUUUCGCAAGCUCUGCAAGUCAUUUAAGACAAUUUUGGGAAAAGUUGUGCGGCUCCCCCAUUUCACUGAGACCUCAGUAAUAGCAAUUACAUGAUUUAUAGGGUCCAGAGAGCUCACUGGAUUGUUUUUUAGUAUUAUUAUUAUUUAAACUUACAUGAUGGUCCAGCUGCAAGACUAGACCUUUAAUAGUUUUGAAAAAAAUGGCUCUGGCCCAUGAUACAAUUUAGACUUGGGCGCUACAGUUCAUAUAGCAGCAUCCAUGGCUGUAGUCUGUGGGUGAACUGUUUGCCCCAAUACUACAUAACAAUCUUUUUCUUUUUUUUCUGUUAUUUCAGCAACAAGCAUGUGUUGCUAUAAUUGGAUGUGGCAAAAAGUCUAUAUCAAAUGCAUGGUUGCAAACACUUUUUUCUGGACAGGGUUUUCAGAAGUGGUCCAUUUUGCACAGACAGCUAGAUAAUGUGAUUGACAGUGGUGGGGAGAUAGGAAAUAUGACUGCACAGCAACCUGCAUAUAAGAACUUCUACUGUACCGAAGUCCUUAAUCGGAAACAUACCUAUGGUUCAAGCCCUUCAUCUGCUAAAUCGCAAGUGAAGUUACUUUGUCGCUCUGGAAGUGACAAGGAAAAAGUGCAGCAGUCUCAAUGUUUUUACCCUCUAGACGCUGGCUCGUGAUACCGAAUACAUUCAUGAAGCGACGACGCUUGGAAAAUUACCAUUGCAUCAAGUUAAAACAUUGCCUCUUAUGCAGCAGUACUCACGAAGUACAUAAACGUAAAGUCUAACAGCUUCAGACUGGAAAGUAAAUCACUGACACUGGAGGAACUCUGCAUAGCACCAAGCGCCUGUGCACCUGCGUUUCAUGUUUUGGUGCCAGGUUAGGGUUGGCAGAGGGCUUGUAAGACGCUAGUGUAUGUGACUCAUUGUUCUGUGCUAAGAUCAGCUCUUGGAACGAGCUCAGGAAUUUGAUUCCUGAGGCUGACUGGAGAGCUUCAUCCUCUCAGCUGGCAUCAGAUGGAGAUCUGCAUCUGUUCAGUGCCUACGUAUAACAUAAGCUGAAGUCAGCACUGUGAUUAUGCCCGUUCAUUUUGAGAAGUUUGGUUUUUUUUUUUUUUUGCAUCCAAGGCUUUGCUGCAGUCUGUUAAUAAAAUGAUUUAACUCUUUUCCAGUGGUGGGGAAAAUGAUGACGACUCUGACCAGAACUGGAAACCUCCAGAAAAUGACCUGAUCCAGAAGUUAAUAGCACAGAUUGAAUAUUACUUCUCAGAUGAGAACCUUGAGAAAGAUGCCUUCCUCCUAAAGCAUGUGAGAAGAAAUAAGAUGGGCUAUGUCAGUGUUAAGCUUCUCACUUCUUUUAAGAAUGUGAAACAGCUUACCCGUGACUGGAGAACCACGGCAUACGCGCUGAAGUACUCGGACACUCUGGAGCUCAAUGAGGAUAACAGAAAGGUUAGAAGAAAUACUCCAGUUCCAGUGUUUCCAAGUGAAAGCCACCCUACCAAGAUGUUACUGGUGUAUGAUAUCCACUUGUUUUCUGAGCUGCAGGCUCUCAACAAAGAACAAGAAAAUGGGUGUAUGCAAGAAAAGGUAAUGGAGCAUCUCCUCAAAGCCUUUGUAACUUUUGGUGUAAUUACAUCCGUUCGUAUUCUCAAGCCUGGUAGGGAUCUACCACCUGAUGUCAAGAGGCUCAGCAAUCGGUACAACCAAGUAGGAACACAGGAAUGUGCAAUUAUAGAAUUUGAAGAAGUAGAUGCUGCCAUACGUGCUCAUGACUUCAUGUGUGCUGAAAAUAAAGAGACUGGCAUGAAAGUUGUCCCAAUAGGCAUGAAGCCUCCAAAGAAGAAAGUUCCCAAAGACAAGAACCGUUACGAAGAUUCCACCAAGAGUCUUAACAAGGGUAGAUCCCUUAAUAAGAGAGUGGAGGAGCUUCAGUUUGUUGGUGAUGAGUCUUCAGCAAAUAGCUCUUCUGACCCAGAGAGUAAUCCUACAUCACCACUGUCGGGACGCAAAAGUACUGCAACAAGUACUACAAAUAAAUUAAGCCCUAUUAUUCACCCAAACAACCAUUUGAGUCCUAAUGUGUCACCCAGAUCAAGUCCUUGGAAUAGUCCGUCUUCACUAAGAAAAGUGACCAAAAAGUCUCCGCUUGCUGAAGACAACAAACUUAACCCAAACACUAGCCCUGAAGUUCCAAGGAGAUGCACAGAUUAUUCUUCAGACAGCAGCAUCACUCCUUCUAGUAGCCCAUGGGUACAGAGAAGACGACAAGGUCAAACUGUAACACAAGAGAAGAGUCCAGUCAGCAGCCCCAUGCUAGCUCGCAAAAUACAAAAUGCAGAUGGUCUACCUGUAGGGGUGCUGCGGCUACCUAAAGGGCCUGAUGGCACUAAAGGAUUCCAUAGUGGAUGUGAAAGAAGGAGAGCUAUGAAGAAUGAAUAAAUCAUUCUUUAAAAACAAUUUAGGAGUCAGCCAACUGCUUUCUUCAAGCCUGGUGAAAGACUGUCAACCGAGUGACUGAAUUAUGUCAAUAUUUAAUGUUUAAAGAUUUUGUAUUCAGGUAGACACUUUAUCAUUUGUAUAUUGGUGUAUUCACUUAUCUGCAUUCUUUUUAAUGUAUUAGUUUGAAAUGCCUAAACAUUGAAACAGGCAUCUAAAACCAUUCUUGCAACUAUAUCAUUUGCAAAGCUCUGACCCUGAAGAGUAGUGUGUAGACACUUACUGUUUAGCAGUUAUAUUUUGAUAGCUGUGCUAUGUUGCCAGUCUAAUCUUAAGGAAUAGAGGUUUUGAAGGCUUUCUGUUUUUUUCUCAAAAGGAACUGAGAAACUUAUGUAACAUUGAGCAGUUGCUCUCACCUUGCAUUUAUCUCCAAAGAAACUAGCUAUGGUUUACAGGACCAAAGCGUAUAUUUUUCUGUGGUAUGAAUGAGGAUGCUGAGCAUUGAAGAUUGUUCUGUAAGUUUUAACUUAUAAUCACAUGGAAAUAAACUAGAACAUUAACUCAGUCUAAAUCCAUUUCCUUUAAAGAAAAAGCUGUACCUGAACAGACACCUAGACCAGAUCUAUACCAUAUAAAAUUCUAACAGUUACUCAAUUUACAGUGCCUUCAGUAAGAAGAAUAGAUUGAAAUGUGCUCUGCCCCACUAUGGAUUGUUACUGCAGUGGUCACUCAAGAUCUUAUCGAUUAUAUGGCAGAGCCAUUUUCAUACAAUAUUGUAAACAAAACAAUAGUAAUCUCACAUUAGCUCCAAAUUUAACAAGAAGGCUCAGUAACAAAUGCUUAAAUUAAAAUUACUAUUAACUUAUCUAAAGCCAAAGGUACCUUUGCAGUUUUAUUUAGAAAAUUAUACUCCUGAAAAACAGCCCAGCUACUUAUUUACAACUUGAACCAAACAAGACACAAUUCUGAUUAGAUUCCUCUUCAUUACAGAACUUCUCUACAUCCUUUCCAACUUUCAUUUCUGUUUUAAGUUUGCUCUUCUGCAGUGGAAAUAAUUGCAGUAAUACACGGUUAGCAACCACCGUACUGCUGUGCACAAAAAGCUAUCAGUCCUGAGGUAUCGGCCCCUUGCCAGCCAGAAAGAUUCCUGACGCUUAUUCCGUACUUUACACAAAGGAAAUCCACCAAGUUACCUCCUGAUUUCCACUACUGGUAGAGACACCACAAAUACAGAUACUGUUAAAUUCAAACUUUUUAUCAACAGCAGAUCUGCAACUAUCUAGGUGACAGCUAACGAAAACAGUCUUCAGAAAAGUGAUUCCAUAACUCCAGACUACAUACAACGGCACCGUCUCAGUAGGUAUCCAAACCAUUUCCUUUUUUCUUCUUUAUGAGGAAUACUGUUGUCUCAUAGCAGUCAGGGGAUUUUUUUUAAUUAUGAAGUUAUAUAGCAUCCACAUAUCAUAAUGUACCCGUUUGGGAACAGUAGUACAAUGGAUACAAUACAAUAGUUUGAAGACAAAAGGAAGUCAGUUAAAUGGUAACACAGAAAGCUAUACGUAAUAGUCCAUGUUAAAAAUCUCUAAGGCACUGUACAUAUAUAGGGGGAAAAAAAAAAAAAGCAACAUUUACCAGGGCUGUGCUCUUUGAAUGAACACGUCCACAUGUUACAUUUAACAUGCGGAUCUUAACAAUCACAUUUGCUUCUGUGUAACACUGACAAUUUUAAACUAAAAAUCUCAGGCAUUACUUAUGAGUCUAUUUGGCUAUAGAAAGAAACACCAAACAUGAAGUCAUAAACAGCUUCUGUGUUAGUAUAUUCAUAUUCAGUACUCCUUUGAAAAGCUUUAGAAGCGCUUUGCAUGCUUAAUAGCAACGUAAAAUACUCUAGGCAUGAAAUACCUUCUCUCUGGCUACUUUUUACGCUAGCUAGCACACAUUAGGGGCUUUUCUGUAUUCUUACUUCAGAUUUUAGACAUGACACCUUAGUUGUAUAUCCACAGAAUUUGGCAUAGACUUGUAAUUUGAUACAGACCAAGGAGGAUUCAGAUCUGGGCUGUUAAGGUUCAGCAGAGAUGCCUAAGAUGAAAGUAGAGGCAACAUUUGGUUCUUGCAGUACCUAGGACUCCAUAUACUCCGUUAUUCUGGAGAAAGAUCUUAAUCUGAUGUCUGGUUUGGCAGAGGUAUGAUCUGUGCAUAACCAAAAACUCAUGAUUAAACAGGAAAUUUUCAAUUAAUGAUCCCACAGUUUGAUCCGGGAAAGAUUCCGGAGACUAUGUUUCACCUUUAUUAGAGAUAGGGCUUUUAAUAAUCUCAGUUAUAAAUUUCAUAUAGCAACUAAGUGUUCUUUACUUCAACUACAAAAAUGUAGGUGAAAAAUGUUUUGUUUAUGGCUUGAAUUCAUUUUAUGUUUUAUAGCAUUAAUGUGGAAUUCUUCAAAUAAAUGCCAAUGCUAGUCUGCAAAUAGUUUAUAACAGGAUCAUUUCAACAACGUGAAUGUACAUUAUUGUGAGGCUAAGUCAGUUCAGAAGCAAAGCAAAAAAAAAGGAAAGACUGAACUCAUUUGAUGAACAUUUGCGAAUUAGAAUAUUGAAUAAGCAGAGGAAAGCAAAAAGCACAAAAUAAACAUGCACUGAUUUUAUAAAUUAGGAAAAGACCACAUUUGUAAUUGCAGUAUUUUCACUGUCUUGGAGUUAGGAUAAAUUGACACAAAUUCAUCUUUCCCUUUGCAAAAGCACUCUUGUGCCUUGGUGCACGUUUUAAAAAAAAAAAAAAAAAAACAAAACCAAACCCGAAAGUUAGCGCUGUUAGUCAUCACCAAUCACCCAAUCAGGUCAUUAGCACUCCUCUGUGCCUCUUUCCCACGGCACCUUGUCAACAGGACUGACACUUCUUUCUCCUAAUGUGUGCGCCCAUGCUGCUGCUUUACACAUCACAGGCAUCACCCCGAGUACAUUGUGAAGUCACUACUUUAAAUCAGUUACACUGAAAACAACUAAAACCCAUCCUCAGUUCAAUCGCAUCAGAUGUGUCCCGGACAACAUUUCAUCAUUAAAGAUAUUUGGUUGUAAUUGCUUUACCGUAAGUUUACCUUUUGAAAACGCGUAUUAGAAUCAUGUGCAUUCCAGAUGCACUUUUUAUGUGAAAAAGUAAAAAGUCUGAGAUGAUGCAAGUGUAAAGUUUCUAUUUUACUGAAACAAUUCAGCUUUUUGCAUCAGUGUUUUAUUAUUUUAUCAUUCUAUUUGUCCUUGUUUUCAGAGGCCAACCUCAGUUACUAUAGGACAGGUAUUUCUGAAACACAGAAUGAACAGAUCAAAGGUGUUUGUAAUUAAUCAAGUAAGUCUGCUUUUUACUUAUAAGCAAAAAUAUUUGUUAUUGUUUUAUGAGGUGAUGGUUUGGUCCCAAUUCUCUGAGAUGACCAGUGCGAAACAAACGAGGGUCUUCCCCUGCUCAUGUGUUCUAGGAGCGGAGGAGCUCUUUGCUCGGCCAAAAUGGGACAAGUACAAUGAAUGUCAAAGUCCAAGACAUAACAUGUGCUACCACAUCAGCAAACAGUCUUGUACUGGACAGAAAACAGCUCAGCUAUAUCAAGGUCAUAGACAGCAUCAAGCCCUGGAGAACAGCUGGAAAACCUUUUGGUAAGAAUCAUUUGCUGUGUUAUCCUACAGUUCUGCCUGCACGUACUUUAAAAGACUUUCGUGCAAGUGAAGCAGGAUGUGACCACAACAGGGUGAGGAUAACAUUUUCAAAAGGUUAAGUUUCAUUGAUGGACUUGGCUCCUCCAUCACUUAGCUGCUUUAGAAGAUUUGUCCUCCUUAUAAAACUGUCCUAAGAGCUUUCCAGAUAGGUCAUUUUGCUACCAUCAAAAUUUAUUUUAGCACGUUAUACAGCUAUGAAGGAUACCGUAUCAUUGCAAUAUAAACAGAUAAAAUUACUGUGAGUGAAAUACACUACCCAGCUUUUUAGAGUAGAAGACUAAGUAACCCUUUUGAUCCAGCUUUCCAGCGAUUAACUGUAUCACAAGCCUGUCAGUGUUUCAUAAACUUUAGCCAAGCUUCCUAAGCAUGCCGCGCUUAAGCUUAAAAAUAAAAACAAGCAAGAGCAGUUCACAUCCCAGCAGAAGGAGCAACUUCUAGAAGAUAUACCUCACAAAUACUAUUGCUAUCCAUUUUGGAAAUAGAGAUGGAUUAAUAAAUUACAUAUUGAAAUUAACUUUAGAACAAAACUCCAUCAGAUUUAUGUCCCCAAAUUUAAAUUUCACUGGUUACAGGCGGUGCAAAUUGUGCAUUACUGCAUUAGUUAAAUUGUGUAGGUGGAAGUAUUAUAAGCGGGUUAUUAUUCAGGAUAUUCAGGAUAAAGAGACUCAUAAUCAUUUCGUGAACAAUUUUAAGCUAAGUAUGUCCGUGUUUUCUUACAAAUGUUAAGAAUUAAAAGCGUGCAUUUACCAUUUGCUUGCCUUUUUAUUUCCCUUUGUACAUAGAAAACACAAGAAUUCCAGCCACUAAUGUAAGAUAUGUUUAGAACAUGAUUUCUUGGAUUCCCCAUUUUAGUUAAGACAGCUGAACGUACUAGAAUUCAAUAGUAAAUACACUAUGAGCUUGCAGUUACUCAAAACUCACACUUCUAUAGCCUAACUACAAGAGGGACUGAGGAGGGUUGAACUAAAGGUCUUGAAGAUUCUUCAUACAGCUACACUUGCAAAAAUUAAAAUGGCCUAACAGUUAUGAUGCAAUGGUGGUUGAUACCCAAUUUAUGUCUUUUGCAGUGUGUGACCGAUUUACUCUCUGGGCAAGUUAGAGAAGUGGACAGAAGAAAAACGAAACCUUGCUGAACAACCACAACUCCUGCUUUCUUCAUGUUCCACUAGUCUGCGGCUACAUAUUAUGGACACCUGGCUAAAUUUCACUGGCAGAUCAAAAAUUAAGUUACAUACGGAAAAGACAUCUCAGUCAGUCCAAGCACAAAAGUAUUGAUCUGUAAUUCUUACAAGAUACUCCAAAGAGUUAACUGUCAAAACACUUAAAAUAGGAAGAGUACAAUUAAGAUGGAGUUAGGAGCACAGUAAUUAGAUUGACAGUACACAGUUCUAUCAUUUCUUUGGAGCUGGAGACCUAUUACAGCCCAUUUGUAACGUUAGCUAUAAUAUCUCGUAUUAACAGCUGCACCCUUCAACUUUUCUGUGACUCCAGAGCUCUGCAGGCUGGAGGAAGCCAGAGUUGAAUGUGACAGCUGGUUCUUGCUCUUUUUUUUUUUACACAUA
Molecule: non-coding RNA, 8937 nt
Organism: Struthio camelus australis
Lineage: Eukaryota; Metazoa; Chordata; Aves; Struthioniformes; Struthionidae
Source: RefSeq, a predicted model, not a curated record